UGUUCUCUGAUCGAGGGAAGAUGG
This 24-nucleotide non-coding RNA is filed under the name Cricetulus griseus (Chinese hamster). The record is from RNAcentral. Lineage: Eukaryota; Metazoa; Chordata; Mammalia; Rodentia; Cricetidae.